This 450-nucleotide ribosomal RNA is filed under the name uncultured bacterium. RNAcentral describes it as "partial 16S ribosomal RNA". It matches the Rfam family "Bacterial small subunit ribosomal RNA", at positions 354 to 796 of the family's 1533-position model. The record is from RNAcentral.
GUGGGGAAUCUUCCGCAAUGGACGAAAGUCUGACGGAGCAACGCCGCGUGAGUGAUGAAGGUCUUCGGAUUGUAAAGCUCUGUUAAUCGGGACGAAAGAGCCUAGUGUGAAUAAUGCUAGGAAGUGACGGUACCGGAAUAGAAAGCCACGGCUAACUACGUGCCAGCAGCCGCGGUAAUACGUAGGUGGCAAGCGUUGUCCGGAAUUAUUGGGCGUAAAGCGCGCGCAGGCGGAUCUGCAAGUCUGUCGUAAAAGUUCGGAGCUUAACCCGUUGAUGUGAUGGAAACUACAGAUCUAGAGUAUCGGAGAGGAAAGUGGAAUUCCUAGUGUAGCGGUGAAAUGCGUAGAUAUUAGGAAGAACACCAGUGGCGAAGGCGACUUUCUGGACGAAAACUGACUCUGAGGCGCGAAAGCCAGGGGAGCGAACGGGAUUAGAAACCCCGGUAGUCC